GCAGAUUCAGCUUCUACUGAGUGACAACCCAGAGGCAGAAGAGGUUAUGAACAUAUUGCUCAACACCAUAAAGAAAAUCCUAGGUGUGUUCAUGACCUCUGCACCACCCUGAUGAAAGUACCUGGCAUGAGUCUUAUCACUUGUGGGCAAUGUCUUAUUUGCUUUGUGUCCCCAGUGCCUAGCAUGGUAGACCCAGUAAAUGUUGGUGAAACCCAGCAGCAUCUCCUCGAGCUCUCUAAGAAGGAUUAGAUCAUUCCAGAGCCACAAUGAGCAUGAGCAGUAUAGACCUUCACUGAAGAUUUCACAGCAAAGAUAAAAGAAAGAUUCUACAUUGUAUAUCCUACAACAAAU
Long non-coding RNA from Lutra lutra (Eurasian river otter), 351 nucleotides. RefSeq lists it as uncharacterized. The record is from RefSeq and is a predicted model, not a curated record. NCBI's taxonomy places the organism in Eukaryota, Metazoa, Chordata, Mammalia, Carnivora, Mustelidae. The transcript is spliced from 3 exons.